RNAcentral lists this ribosomal RNA (257 nucleotides) under uncultured Glomeromycotina. Its description in RNAcentral is "partial 18S ribosomal RNA". It matches the Rfam family "Eukaryotic small subunit ribosomal RNA", at positions 624 to 886 of the family's 1831-position model. The record is from RNAcentral. Lineage: Eukaryota; Fungi; Glomeromycota.
AAGCUCGUAGUUGAAUUUCGGGAUCAGUAUGUUGGUCGUGCUUAGGUACGUACUGUCAUUACUGGUUUCUCUCUUCUGAAGAACCUUGAUGUCAUUAAUUUGGUGUCUUGGGGAAUCAGGACUGUUACUUUGAAAAAAUUAGAGUGUUUAAAGCAGGCAUACGCUUGAAUACAUUAGCAUGGAAUAAUGAAAUAGGACGUUUGAUUCUAUUUUGUUGGUUUCUAGGACCGACGUAAUGAUUAAUAGGGAUAGUUGGG